This 251-nucleotide ribosomal RNA is filed under the name uncultured bacterium. RNAcentral's name for it is "partial 16S ribosomal RNA". It matches the Rfam family "Bacterial small subunit ribosomal RNA", at positions 524 to 776 of the family's 1533-position model. The record is from RNAcentral.
UACGUAGGGGCAAGCGUUGUCCGGAAUCAUUGGGCGUAAAGAGCGUGUAGGCGGCCAGAAAAGUCCGCUGUGAAAACUCGAGGCUCAACUUCGAGCUGUCGGUGGAAACUUUCUGGCUAGAGUCCGGAAGAGGAGAAUGGAAUUCCUGGUGUAGCGGUGAAAUGCGCAGAUAUCAGGAAGAACACCCGUGGCGAAGGCGGUUCUCUGGGACGGUACUGACGCUGAGACGCGAAGCGUGGGGAGCGAACAGG